Ricinus communis (castor bean) is the source of this 106-nucleotide non-coding RNA. The record is from Rfam. Lineage: Eukaryota; Viridiplantae; Streptophyta; Magnoliopsida; Malpighiales; Euphorbiaceae.
AAACUACGAUUAGGAUGCCUCCUUUGUAACUUUUUAAUAUUUUCCAAGCUUCAUAAAGUGACUCAUCAUUCUUUUGGUAAAAACUAGCGAUUUGUUGUAUGAUUUU